UUGGUUAGGUUGAUAUAUAGACGUAUAUAUUUAUCGGCUGGCUAACGUUACAGUAGCGCAAAUAAUCGCAUUAUGCACUUGUCCGAAAAAUAGCAGAGUAACUAGCUUAGUUUAGCUAACUAAUCAUUCAGAACCGCACAUCUGAGAGAACAGGACAACCAUGACCAGACGGACAUUGGAAUUCGUUUCAAAGUGACAGUGAGGACAAGGCACUGUUUCCCACUGUAACAGCUGUUGGUGGAAGGAGGAUAGUGAGACAGGGGGGGGGGGAGUCCAGGCAACAAAAGAAAAGGACUAGCCGGUGAAACACUUCAGUUUUCGCUGUGCUAUGUUUAAAAAAAUAUUUAUAUAUCUUCACCAUUUUUAUUUAUUUAUUAGGGGGUAGGCAUGCUGGACAUGGCCUUCCAGGAUACAAUCAAAGGCACUUGAUCUAAGUAAGGUGACUCUUGGUCCUUCCACAAUGCCAGAGACUUAGUCCUUCCACAAUGCCAGAGACUUAGUCCUUCCACAAUGCCAGAGACUUGGUCCUUACACAAUGCCAGAGACUUAGUCCUUCCACAAUGCCAGAGACUUGGUCCUUACACAAUGCCAGAGACUUAGUCCUUACACAAUGCCAGAGACUUGGUCCUUACACAAUGCCAGAGACUUAGUCCUUACACAAUGCCAGAGACUUAGUCCUUACACAAUGCCAGAGACUUGGUCCUUACACAAUGCCAGAGACUUAGUCCUUCCACAAUGCCAGAGACUUAGUCCUUCCACAAUGCCAGAGACUUAGUCCUUACACAAUGCCAGAGACUUAGUCCUUCCACAAUGCCAGAGACUUAGUCCUUACACAAUGCCAGAGACUUAGUCCUUCCACAAUGCCAGAGACUUAGUCCUUCCACAAUGCCAGAGACUUAGUCCUUCCACAAUGCCAGAGACUUAGUCCUUACACAAUGCCAGAGACUUAGUCCUUCCACAAUGCCAGAGACUUAGUCCUUACACAAUGCCAGAGACUUAGUCCUUACACAAUGCCAGAGACUUAGUCCUUCCACAAUGCCAGAGACUUAGUCCUUCCACAAUGCCAGAGACUUAGUCCUUCCACAAUGCCAGAGACUUAGUCCUUCCACAAUGCCAGAGACUUAGUCCUUCCACAAUGCCAGAGACUUAGUCCUUCCACAAUGCCAGAGACUUAGUCCUUCCACAAUGCCAGAGACUUAGUCCUUACACAAUGCCAGAGACUUAGUCCUUACACAAUGCCAGAGACUUAGUCCUUCCACAAUGCCAGAGACUUAGUCCUUACACAAUGCCAGAGACUUAGUCCUUCCACAAUGACAGAGACUUAGUCCUUCCACAAUUCCAGAGACUUAGUCCUUCCACAAUGCCAGAGACUUAGUCCUUACACAAUGCCAGAG
Molecule: long non-coding RNA, 1394 nt
Organism: Oncorhynchus keta (chum salmon)
Lineage: Eukaryota; Metazoa; Chordata; Actinopteri; Salmoniformes; Salmonidae
Exons: 3
Source: RefSeq, a predicted model, not a curated record